RNAcentral lists this ribosomal RNA (227 nucleotides) under uncultured bacterium. Its description in RNAcentral is "partial 16S ribosomal RNA". It matches the Rfam family "Bacterial small subunit ribosomal RNA", at positions 107 to 334 of the family's 1533-position model. The record is from RNAcentral.
UGAGUAACACGUAUCCAACCUGCCGUCUACUCUUGGACAGCCUUCUGAAAGGAAGAUUAAUACAAGAUGGCAUCAUGAGUCCACAUGUUCACAUGAUUAAAGGUAUUCCGGUAGACGAUGGGGAUGCGUUCCAUUAGAUAGUAGGCGGGGUAACGGCCCACCUAGUCUUCGAUGGAUAGGGGUUCUGAGAGGAGGGUCCCCCACAUUGGAACUGAGACACGGUCCAA